AUUCCAGCUCCAAUAGCGUAUAUUAAAGUUGUUGCGGUAAAAAAGCUCGUAGUUGGAUUUCUACCGAAGAUAGCCGGUCGGGUCUUCGACCUUGUAUCUGGUUUUGUCUUUGGUAUCCUCAUGGGGAACGUUGCUGCGCUUCACUGCGUGGUGCGGUAUCCAUGACUUUUACUUUGAGGAAAUUAGAGUGUUCACGGCAGGCAAACGCCCUGAAUAUAUUAGCAUGGAAUAAUAACAUAGGAUCUUCGUCCUAUUUUGUUGGUUUCUAGGGCUAAGAUAAUGAUUAAUAGGGAUAAUUGGGGGCAUCUGUAUCAACGCGUCAGAGGUGGAAUUCUUGGAUUGCGUUGCGACAAACUACUGCGAAAGCAUUUGCCAAGGAUGUUUUCAUUA
RNAcentral lists this ribosomal RNA (390 nucleotides) under Syndiniales sp. RNAcentral's name for it is "partial small subunit ribosomal RNA". It matches the Rfam family "Eukaryotic small subunit ribosomal RNA", at positions 582 to 975 of the family's 1831-position model. Lineage: Eukaryota; Dinophyceae; Syndiniales. The record is from RNAcentral.